GGUCGAUGAACGGUGCUUGCACUGUGAUUCAACUUAAAACGAGUGGCGGACGGGUGAGUAACACGUGGGUAACCUGCCCUUAAGUGGGGGAUAACAUUUGGAAACAGAUGCUAAUACCGCAUAAAUCCAAGAACCGCAUGGUUCUUGGCUGAAAGAUGGCGUAAGCUAUCGCUUUUGGAUGGACCCGCGGCGUAUUAGCUAGUUGGUGAGGUAACGGCUCACCAAGGCGAUGAUACGUAGCCGAACUGAGAGGUUGAUCGGCCACAUUGGGACUGAGACACGGCCCAAACUCCUACGGGAGGCAGCAGUAGGGAAUCUUCCACAAUGGACGCAAGUCUGAUGGAGCAACGCCGCGUGAGUGAAGAAGGCUUUCGGGUCGUAAAACUCUGUUGUUGGAGAAGAAUGGUCGGCAGAGUAACUGUUGUCGGCGUGACGGUAUCCAACCAGAAAGCCACGGCUAACUACGUGCCAGCAGCCGCGGUAAUACGUAGGUGGCAAGCGUUAUCCGGAUUUAUUGGGCGUAAAGCGAGCGCAGGCGGUUUUUUAAGUCUGAUGUGAAAGCCCUCGGCUUAACCGAGGAAGCGCAUCGGAAACUGGGAAACUUGAGUGCAGAAGAGGACAGUGGAACUCCAUGUGUAGCGGUGAAAUGCGUAGAUAUAUGGAAGAACACCAGUGGCGAAGGCGGCUGUCUGGUCUGUAACUGACGCUGAGGCUCGAAAGCAUGGGUAGCGAACAGGAUUAGAUACCCUGGUAGUCCAUGCCGUAAACGAUGAAUGCUACGUGUUGGAGGGUUUCCGCCCUUCAGUGCCGCAGCUAACGCAUUAAGCAUUCCGCCUGGGGAGUACGACCGCAAGGUUGAACUCAAGGAAUUGACGGGGGCCCGCACAGCGAUGGAGCAUGUGGUUUAAUUCGCAGCGACGGCUAGAACCUUACCAGG
RNAcentral lists this ribosomal RNA (937 nucleotides) under Lacticaseibacillus zeae. RNAcentral's name for it is "bacterial SSU rRNA". It matches the Rfam family "Bacterial small subunit ribosomal RNA", at positions 64 to 978 of the family's 1533-position model. The record is from RNAcentral. Lineage: Bacteria; Bacillati; Bacillota; Bacilli; Lactobacillales; Lactobacillaceae.